GCGAGAGGCCAGUGAAGGGGGAACCCAUCUUAGCAACAGCAGAAAAUAUCGCACAUGCCCUUGCACACAGGCACAAACACAGACACCGCGCCACCCGCCCUGCUGCAGUGAACGGUUGCUGAUUACGUCUCCUAAGGCUUUUGUUUUGCCACAGCCCCACUUCCAAAGGACAAGUUUCUGUUCACAGAUCACACUGCUUACCUGGUCAGACAGCCCAUAAUCCCUUUUUAAUGGAAUGCAGGGGCAACGGUCCUCUCUCUGCCCUCUCCAACACACAUGUUAUUAACGGCAAACUUUGAUCUGCAGUAAUGGAAGGUUGGUGAGAGUGUUUGCAACACGGAAAUCUGCAAAUGCUACAAAUCAGGACUUUUUCUUCCCUGGAGAGCGGCAUGGUGAACGUUGACCAUCACACCACUGAAAGAGAGUUAUCUGAACCAGAAUGAGGAGCUAACUUAGCAAAGACCAGCAGCAAAGUUCACCUAACAUUUGGCAGUCUAUUUACUCCUAGAAGUCUCCUGAUUCCCCUGGUUCCAGUGGUAGCUGGAGAUUCAGUGGUUCUGUAUUGUGAGCUUACAAACUUCAGGUCAGCAUCCUCAGUCAAGAUGCAUUAGAAUCACCUGGAAUGCUUAUGAAAAUGAAGAUUCCUAGGCCAAAGUCCAGACCUGUGAAUCAUGCCUAUAGGACCUGAAAGUUUGCAUCUCAUGAUGAGCCUGAGAUCAUGGUAAUCCACCCCAGAUAACUUCUCUAGAUCCUACGCCUUAACAUCACUCAUAUCCUACGCCUCCUUGUUACUUCUACUGCUGCUGCCUUAGUUCAGACUUGAGCCUGGCUGCUGUAACAGUCUCCUAAUUGGUCUCUGAGUUGUCCUCUUUACUGCAUUCAAAAUAAACUGAGCAAAAUUCCAAUCUUAUGUCAGAUCUAGCAUAAAAUAGCUCCCUAUUUUCUAUAAAAUAGCUUAUUCUCUUUGCUAAGACAAAUAAGGCCCUCACCAGCCUUUCUCUUCUGCCUCAUCCACUCGGUUUGUCCCUUGGGCACUCCAGACAUGCUGCAGGAUUUUGCACUUCUCUAGACACUCUCUGCUGUUUCACAGCUCCAGGCCUCUGCUCUUGCUAGAGCAUCUAACUAGAAUGACCACCCCUCACCCCAUGGCUGACUCUCUGGCAAACAUCUACUUGUCUUUAAUGUAGCAAUUCAAUAAUUACCUCUUGCAUGAUCUUAAGUCAAAAUUAUAUUUUUAUAUAUAUUAUAUUAUAUUAUAUAUUUCCUAAUCUAUUCCUUUUUGUGUGUCUGGUUUUGUUCCCCAAUUUGUAUUUAUUUUCAUGAUAGAACUUACAAUAUUUUACUGCAGUAUUCGUUGAC
This 1359-nucleotide long non-coding RNA is filed under the name Homo sapiens (human). Its description in RNAcentral is "HSALNT0365459". Lineage: Eukaryota; Metazoa; Chordata; Mammalia; Primates; Hominidae. The record is from RNAcentral.